AUCCAUGCAAGACCGUCGGGAGGCAGCAGUUGUGCAGUGGGCUCUGCAACAGGAUCAGUGGAUCCAGCAUUUGUGAAGUUUGGAGGAUCGGUUGGUAAUGUGCGGUUCAGCCAGCCUACGCCAACCCAAUACCGUUGGUGUUCAAUUAAAUAUAAGCAUUUUUCAGUGGGAUCAGAAGACUCUUUGUCAGUUAAUGUAUUGUUGGUAUGAUUACUAUGAACCACAUAAGGACUACUUCCAAUAACCUUUAGUAAAUGGGUGGCAGGACUCUCCUUCUUUUCGGGUGAAGAAACAGAUGGCUGUUUAUUUUCUGCAGAAGGCGCAGGGGGUUCGUUGGAAGAGGGUUGGGGAACUGGUUUUGCAGGUUCCUUCGUCUUUCCGAUUACAAAUUUUUCAUACAAAAGAUUAAAAAAUGAAAUUCUCCGAAUGCAAAAUAAAACAGCCUGUAG
Molecule: non-coding RNA, 449 nt
Organism: Schizosaccharomyces pombe (fission yeast)
Lineage: Eukaryota; Fungi; Ascomycota; Schizosaccharomycetes; Schizosaccharomycetales; Schizosaccharomycetaceae
Source: the annotation of a GenBank genome assembly